GAUGAACGCUGGCGGCGUGCCUAAUACAUGCAAGUCGAGCGAACAGACGAGGAGCUUGCUCCUCUGACGUUAGCGGCGGACGGGUGAGUAACACGUGGAUAACCUACCUAUAAGACUGGGAUAACUUCGGGAAACCGGAGCUAAUACCGGAUAAUAUAUUGAACCGCAUGGUUCAAUAGUGAAAGACGGUUUUGCUGUCACUUAUAGAUGGAUCCGCGCCGCAUUAGCUAGUUGGUAAGGUAAAGGCUUAGCAAGGCGGCCAUGCGUAGCCGACCUGAGUGGGGGAUCGGCCACACUGGAACUGAGACACGGACCAGAGUCCUACGGGAGGCCGCAGUAGGGAAUCUUCCGCAAUGGGCGAAAGCCUGACGGAGCAACGCCGAGUGAGUGAUGAAGGUCUUCGGAUCGUAAAGCUCUGUUAUUAGGGAAGAACAAAUGUGUAAGUAACUAUGCACGUCUUGACGGUACCUAAUCAGAAAGCCACGGCUAACUACGUG
Molecule: ribosomal RNA, 497 nt
Filed under: uncultured bacterium
Lineage: Bacteria
Description: partial 16S ribosomal RNA
Rfam family: Bacterial small subunit ribosomal RNA
Source: RNAcentral